This 303-nucleotide signal recognition particle RNA is filed under the name Ipomoea nil (Japanese morning glory). Its description in RNAcentral is "Plant signal recognition particle RNA". It matches the Rfam family "Plant signal recognition particle RNA". The record is from Rfam by way of RNAcentral. Lineage: Eukaryota; Viridiplantae; Streptophyta; Magnoliopsida; Solanales; Convolvulaceae.
GCUGGGCUUGGUAACGCGAGCCUGUAACCCAAGUGGGAGCAUUAAGAUGGUGGGAUGAUUCGGUUUACCUUGAAUGCUGGGCUUGGGGUGCUAUUUACCGGCCUGCCCGUUCCAAGUGGUGAGUUGGGUUGUGGAGUCUUUGCGAAGGCGGAGGCUUCUCGGCCCUUAGACCGGAGGGUAUUGCGUCAGGCUGGUUUCACAGAGCAGCGAACACCUCCUCCUCUCUGCAGUGGAAGGAUAACAGGUCGGAGCUUCUUCAGUCCAUUAGAGCCUGAUGGGUUGCCCAAUUGAACCACCAUCUUU